Molecule: ribosomal RNA, 440 nt
Filed under: uncultured bacterium
Lineage: Bacteria
Description: partial 16S ribosomal RNA
Rfam family: Bacterial small subunit ribosomal RNA
Source: RNAcentral
CCUACGGGGGGCAGCAGUAGGGAAUAUUGCUCAAUGGGGGAAACCCUGAAGCAGCAACGCCGCGUGGAGGAUGAAGGUUUUCGGAUUGUAAACUCCUUUUGUUAGAGAAGAUAAUGACGGUAUCUAACGAAUAAGCACCGGCUAACUCCGUGCCAGCAGCCGCGGUAAUACGGAGGGUGCAAGCGUUACUCGGAAUCACUGGGCGGAAAGAGCGCGUAGGCGGGAUAGCAAGUCAGAUGUGAAAUCCUAUGGCUUAACCAUAGAACUGCAUUUGAAACUGUUAUUCUAGAGUAUGUGAGAGGUAGGUGGAAUUCUUGGUGUAGGGGUAAAAUCCGUAGAGAUCAAGAGGAAUACUCAUUGCGAAGGCGACCUGCUAGAACAUAACUGACGCUGAUGCGCGAAAGCGUGGGGAGCAAACAGGAUUAGAUACCCUAGUAGUC